RNAcentral lists this ribosomal RNA (494 nucleotides) under uncultured bacterium. Its description in RNAcentral is "partial 16S ribosomal RNA". It matches the Rfam family "Bacterial small subunit ribosomal RNA", at positions 28 to 506 of the family's 1533-position model. The record is from RNAcentral.
GACGAACGCUGGCGGCGUGCCUAAUACAUGCAAGUAGAACGCUGAAGGAGGAGCUUGCUCUUCUGGAUGAGUUGCGAACGGGUGAGUAACGCGUAGGUAACCUGCCUGGUAGCGGGGGAUAGCUAUUGGAAACGAUAGCUAAUACCGCAUAAGAGUAGAUGUUGCAUGACAUUUGCUUAAAAGGUGCAAUUGCAUCACUACCAGAUGGACCUGCGUUGUAUUAGCUAGUUGGUGGGGUAACGGCUCACCAAGGCGACGAUACAUAGCCGACCUGAGAGGGUGAUCGGCCACACUGGGACUGAGACACGGCCCAGACUCCUACGGGAGGCAGCAGUAGGGAAUCUUCGGCAAUGGACGGAAGUCUGACCGAGCAACGCCGCGUGAGUGAAGAAGGUUUUCGGAUCGUAAAGCUCUGUUGUAAGAGAAGAACGAGUGUGAGAGUGGAAAGUUCACACUGUGACGGGAUCUUACCAGAAAGGGACGGCUAACUACGU